AGUUCACAUUCUAAAUUAUGAAUUUAGAUUUCUAUGUAUUUGCUGUAGUUUUUGAUGUAAGAUUGGGGUCACACCAGAUGCAUGAUAUAGAAGGCAGCCAGUUUAAAAUGUGGCUGCUAUCAGGAUCACAUGUCACAUGUCAUCUGCAACUUACAUCCAACUCAGGCCUGCUGCAAAGAAAAUCCAUCUGCUACACCUCAACAAACCUAUAAAUGGAACCAUUUCCUUGGACCGGCUUCAGGAACUCUCCUCCUCCCCUGAUGGGAGUUGUACAGGUUGCAUUAGCACAGACUCACAGCCUGCUGGUUGAAGAGUCCUGUUGUGGGGGAAGCCAGGACUGGUGCCAGGUCUGGAGGGGUGCACAGGCCCAGCCAUGCUCAGCACGUCCCAAACAACCGGUGCACGAACCAGAGCCAUCUGCUGUCCAUUUCACUUACAUUCUCACUUGAUGCUCUGCCAGCGGCUCGCUUUUUUCACCCCUGGAACGAGACUAAUCCUCCCGUCCUCACAUGAGCCACCAAAGCUUCGGGUUCAGCUGGCCGGACACCGUGGUUACCCUUCUGAUUUUUGCCUGAGAAAACAAAGAGCUAUACUUCCCCGAAAAGUAUUUCAAAGCAGUAUCAUUUAUCACAAACCCUCUUCCGAGGUCCAUCAUCUACUUACUGUAAUGACCAGAUUUGCCUCUCUACUCUUCAUGAGUGUAUCUGAGUAAUUCCCAUCAACUAAAUAACCAUUAAGCACUCAGCAGUUCAGCCUCAACUGUUGAAGUACAUAAAUGGCUCAUGACCUGAACAUCAUAUGCAUCAUCUUCAAGACUGGAGCAUCACUGUUUGAGUAAUUUCCACCAACUAAAUAACCAUUAAGCACUCAGCGUCCUGGGCUCCUCAACCGUUAAAGCACACUGGGACAUUAGAGAAGAAGAGAUUGAUCAGAGACGUUAUGAGUCAUACAGAGAAAAUAACAAACCUGCUGCAGGAGUUUUUUUCAUCAUUUUAAACUAUUUAUCCUGUAAAGAUGAUAAUUUAUUAAUUUUUUACUCUCAGUAUGCUUUGCAGUUGCAUUAAACUUUCUAUUCUA
Molecule: long non-coding RNA, 1077 nt
Organism: Dicentrarchus labrax (European seabass)
Lineage: Eukaryota; Metazoa; Chordata; Actinopteri; Moronidae
Exons: 2
Source: RefSeq, a predicted model, not a curated record